UUAUAACGUGUUGGAUUAUAGAAAUAAAUGAAGUGGUACUGAUUGUGUGUGUGUUUUAGGAUGAGCUGGAGUGGGGCAAAGAGAACUGCAUUCAGAUCAAACGGAUACGAGAGGUGGCCGAGUUGUUUGAGGAUCUGAAGAAUCGAGUGUCACAAUUCAACAUGCACAUCAGCGAAACUUCUCCCUCUGACUACACCAGCGCGCACACACAGAAAUUCAUAGUGCAGGUGGCGAUUGCAGGCGCAUUUUAUCCGAACUGCUUCCUCCAGGGAACUGUGGACGAGGAGCUCGCCUCCAAGGAGCUCUAUGGAAACGACCCCAGGACCACCGUAGUGGUGUGUAAUCUCCCUCCAUUUGCAUUCCUCUACUAUAAACAGCUCCAGUCUCUCUUCAGACACUGGUUAAGUCAAAUCCAUCUCCUUUGACAGCUCCAGGGCCUAUGUAGAGUUCUACCGCUCGUCAAUGAGAGGUUCUGGCGUUCUCCCAGAGGUCUCUCUGUCUCUCCUCCUCGCGCAGCAGAGACUUCCUCUCCAUCUCAAUGUUUAACCCGCUGGAGAGGUGGAGACUUGGGCAGGGGGGUAGUGUAUCUCACACCUCAGAUAUACACGGGUGAAUGUGGAUUUUCAGAAUCAGUCAGUGAGCCCUGUCGGGGUUCUGAGCAGCUCCAUUGAGUUGGAGAAUCUUCCGUCUAACCCUGUCUUUAUCGUCAAUAUCACCGAGGUCAUCAAAGUCGGGCAUUUCUGGGGUUUCCAGGCUCACGCGGCAAGUCUGGAGAAACAGAGGUGGCUGACAGUGGCCGUUACACGGGCGCUCUGCCCACUUCCUGUCUCACUUUAUCCAAAUCUUCUGUGUCUCGCCCCUUUCUCUGAAACUCACACCAAACCUGGGAACUACUACAGAGCCAAAAUACUGCAUGUCAUGGGGAGUAAUGUGGAGGUAACAUCUGUACACACA
Molecule: long non-coding RNA, 954 nt
Organism: Ictalurus furcatus (blue catfish)
Lineage: Eukaryota; Metazoa; Chordata; Actinopteri; Siluriformes; Ictaluridae
Exons: 7
Source: RefSeq, a predicted model, not a curated record